GAAAGUGUGGGGAGCAAACAGGAUUAGAUACCCUGGUAGUCCACACCAUAAACUAUGGACACUAGAUAUGGGGAGUAUCGACCCUCUCCGUGUCGUAGCUAACGCGUUAAGUGUCCCGCCUGGGGAGUACGGCCGCAAGGCUAAAACUCAAAGGAAUUGACGGGGGCCCGCACAAGCAGCGGAGCGUGUGGUUUAAUUCGAUGCAAAACGAAGAACCUUACCAAGGCUUGACAUGCUGGAAGUAGUGAACCGAAAGGGGAUCGACCUGUUAAGUCAGGAGCCAGCACAGGUGCUACAUGGCUGUCGUCAGCUCGUGCCGUGAGGUGUUUGGUUAAGUCCUGCAACGAGCGCAACCCUUAUUGCUAGUUGUUUUUUCUAGCGAGACUGCCCCGCAAAACAGGGAGGAAGGUGGGGAUGACGUCAAGUCAGCACGGCCCUUAUGCCUUGGGCUACACACACGCUACAAUGGGUGGUACAGUAGGUUGCAAUGGAGCGAUCCGGAGCUAAUCCCUAAAGCCAUCCUCAGUUCGGAUUGCAGGCUGAAACUCGCCUGCAUGAAGUCGGAGUUGCUAGUAAACGCGUAUCAGCAUGGCGCGUUGAAUACGUUCUCGGGCCUUGUACACACCGCCCGUCACGUCAUGAAAGUCGGCAACACCUGAAGUCGAUGGGCUAACCCCGACUUGUCGGGGGGGCAGUCGCCGAGGGUGGGGCUGGUGAUUGGGACGAAGUCGUAACAAGGUAGCCGUAGCGGAAGCUGCGGCUG
This 763-nucleotide ribosomal RNA is filed under the name marine metagenome. Its description in RNAcentral is "bacterial SSU rRNA". It matches the Rfam family "Bacterial small subunit ribosomal RNA", at positions 755 to 1520 of the family's 1533-position model. The record is from RNAcentral.